This 76-nucleotide transfer RNA is filed under the name Deltaproteobacteria bacterium HGW-Deltaproteobacteria-19. RNAcentral describes it as "tRNA-Lys". It matches the Rfam family "tRNA". From Rfam's summary of the family: Transfer RNA (tRNA) molecules are approximately 80 nucleotides in length. Their secondary structure includes four short double-helical elements and three loops (D, anti-codon, and T loops). The record is from RNAcentral. RNAcentral also lists the same sequence under 2 other names. Lineage: Bacteria; Deltaproteobacteria.
GGGCCCUUAGCUCAGCUGGUAGAGCAGGUGACUCUUAAUCACAAGGUCGUCGGUUCGAUCCCGUCAGGGCCCACCA